Molecule: long non-coding RNA, 4413 nt
Filed under: Equus caballus (horse)
Lineage: Eukaryota; Metazoa; Chordata; Mammalia; Perissodactyla; Equidae
Description: lncRNA (ENSECAG00000039807.3)
Source: RNAcentral
CUGGGGAAUGAGCAGUGACCAUGGUAGGCACAGUCCCUAGGCUCACUGAGCUCUCAGUCAAGAGGGGGAAGCAAGCAAGUCACCAGACAGUGAUGACAGUGAUCAGAAGGAAACCCCCAGCAAGGCAUCAGGGUGGGCUUCCUGGUGGAGGUGACACCUGCCAGGAACAGACUCAUCCUGUUGCCAAAACUCCAGCUGCACCAUCUGCCUCUUUGCACUGUGAGCAGCUCAAAGGCAGGGCUGAUUGCACCUCAGCCACCCUCAUGUCCUCAGAGCUUCACCCAGGGCCUGGCACCACCCCCCCCCCCAAAGUAGAAUCUGCAGAAUAAGGAGGAAAAGGAAGAGGCAACAGGCCAAAUAACACCCUUGUACCUAAUAAAGUGGAUCUUGGAGACCGUGGCUCAUUUCUGCAGCCAAGUGGCUUCCUAACCCUGAACCCCAGCAUCACAAACCCCCCACCGCCUGUCACAGAAGAAGCUGGGCGGGAGGCCUCCCCUGCAGUGGCAGAGCCUUCCCUUACCACGCGUGUGUGGCCAAGCAUGACUGAGAAUGCGGCUCCUGCGGGCAGCUUGUCCCAGGUAGGAGGAGAAAGGGGCUGGGCCAAGCGUGCAGCCAGACCUGCUGAUGAGAAAGUCCCUCCUCCCUGGAGAGGAGUGGGUGAGGGGCAGAGCGAGGGGAGCAUCAGGAGAUGGUGUGAGGGUCCCCCCACUUCCCCAGAUGCUACAACCACCUUAUGAAGAAGGCUCUCUCAUCAUCAUCAUCAGGAGGCGGGAGGCCUUGCCCGACUCUAGAGCCGAGAUCUUUAACCGCCACACAAGGAACACGUGGAAGAGAUUUCACAAACCUCUUAUGCUGCAGUAGCAGAGAGCCCAAACCCCCACUGUCCUGACACUGCACAGGUUCACUUCUCCCCCAGGCCGGGGGUCCAGGGGGAUCAACAGGAAGGCCCUUCUCACUGUGGUCACCAGGGACCCGGCAGAUGGAGCCGUAGAGCAGCACAGGCUUCCUCCGUCACCAAGCAGGAGAACGCUCCUGCUGGACGUGACGCAUCACUUCUGCUCACUCUGCAUUGGCCUCAAGAUUGUGGCCGCACCACACUUCACAGGGCCAGAGAAGGAGAGAGCAUUCCAGAGAACUGGAAGAUUUAGGGACGGGCCCAAUGAUGACCACAACACUGAAUGAGGACCGAGACUUUCCAGAUGUUGGUUUCUGUCCCUGUGUGUUUGGUGCGAGUCAGCUGGACCUGGGUUAGAAUCUUCCCUCCAUUGCACACCAGCUGUGUGGCUUUGGACAAGUGACUGCUCCUCUCUUAGUCUUAGUUUCCUUGUCCGUCAAGUGGGGUACCUGCCAGCUGCCUCCCAGGAAGUAGAGGAUAUGAAAUGGAGUGUGUGAAGUACCCGGCACAGACUAGAGGCGUUGAGGCUAACGGGGGUCUUCACUGCUGCCACCUUCCUUCUGUCCCCAAGGCCAUCCAGGAGUGGCCAAGGCCGACCUCUGCUGUGUCCUGCUGUGGCUCCACCACCUGUAUGAGGUUCGGGAGGACCUGGUCCUGUCUCAGUCAAUGACGGUGAAGUUAAAGCAGGGUCAUCCAUAGUGGACGGGUUUCAGUGGAGCUUCUAGACUAAGACAGACUAAGAAGGAGGACCUGGUCACCCACUUCUGAAAAAAUUGGCCAUGCGAACCGUACGAAUAACAGCAGAGCGUUGAUACAGCACCAAAAGGUGAGAGGAUGGCGCAAAAAGACCAGAAUACAAAGUUUUUUCUCCGACUGAGGAAUGUGAAGUCCACAUUUGGUCAAAAUGGUGGCAAGGCGUCAAUUUUACGUUCUCAGUGGAGAAAGACAGAAACCUUAUAUUGGUGCUGCUUGGAGAAAUUCAGAGAAAGGGGCUCUGUCCCAUACUUGGGGAGAUUCAGGACGCAGAGAACAGCUCAAGGAAUCAAGACACAAAUGACAUGGACAACUCAGCAGGAAGAGGAAAUCUUGGGGAAAAGUGACCCAAAGAGCAGAAACUCCUGGGAACCCACGGAGAUGCUGACAAGGGAGCUGGAUUUCUCCCAGUGGGAAGGAGGAUGUCUGUCUGUCCAAGGAAGAAAGCCAAGAAAGGCUGACAAUGAACCAAGCAGGAGAGGGAAGGCGGCUGGAUGGAAUGGGUCCCUGAGGAGGUGAGGGGGCACACUCAGAGCACAGGGAGGAGCCCCUCCCCGUUUACCCAUCUGAGCCUCUCCCAUUUGAACUUCACCAGUGCCCUGGAGGAUUCUGCACAUGCAGAGACCAAGUCAGAGAGACUAUGUGACAUGCCCCAAAUCACCCGGCUACUAAAUGGGCAGGCAGAACUUCAUGUCUGCCCCUGCGGACUAGGAGGGGCGUGCUUUUUCUUCCAGGAUGCGAUGCCUCCUGCUACGACCACUGUAUGCCAGUUGUCUCUUCAUCUGUCUGGGGUCUUGCCCACCGUGUGUCCCUCAAGGCAACACCACAACCUACUCGUCUUUGUCUGCCUGGGCCCAGCAACAGUGCCCAGCACAGAGAAAGCUCUUAAAACCUCAGGAAAUUAAUCUCAGUCUGUUUUCACCAUGACCCCAAGAAACGGGCAAGGGCAGGACCCACUCCACCCAGAGAAGACAUCUCAGGGAAGAAACUGGCUUUGUCAGGACCAGAAACCAAAGUUUCAAGAUGUCCUCAGCUCCCCAACUUGGACCUGGGAAUGGAUAAAGGAGAGAGAGGGCCAACUGUGGCAUACAUAUUUCUCAAUAAACCUGUAGGAAAAGGAUUAUAAUUUCCAAUCAUGAAAUUGGGGAAGAACAAUUGAAGUGGGGCAGACAACUCAGAGGCUGCCUCUGCCCCAGGAUUGGUGAACCGAGUCCUUCCUGUCCCCCCUGACCCAGGAGGGUUAGCGACUGGGGAUGCGAGUGGAGGACGGACAAGACGUAGAAGAGGGAUCAAGGGGGAAGAGGACUGAGCUACCUACCAUGAGGAGCCACAGAGAGGACAGACUUCCUGGAAGAGAGAGUCCUGCAUUAGAGCAGAACAGAGCCCAGAGGAGAAAAAGAAAGUGGAGCAGGGAAAAUGGGAACAAUAGGAAACUUUGUGUUGAACAGCGGAAGGAAGAUGGCAUUAGCUGCAGGAGCCCCUUUAGGGCCUGUCAAAGGGAACUCUCCAGCCUACAAAACUGGGACACACAGAAUCCCAAAGUUGACUUCCCGCAAGGACCUGGGACAGACAUGAAAACAUCAGAAGAUGAUCGGGCUCCAGAGACCUUCAGCGGAAUACCGAAAAAACGUAAACCAGGCACGCCAGUUCCAGGGGUCCUUGACGUGGGGAGAGGCCAAGGACACUUCUCUUACAAUUGAUUGCUCUUUGCUGCUGAUGGAACGUCUUAUGCUCGAAAUCAGAAUUUGGUCCAAAAAAUUUUGAUGACUGAAAAUAUAUGAAAUUGAAACUCCAAAGCAUGAUUUAAAAGGCAUCCGCAGCCAAAAAGACAAAUGUGGAAGCCCCAGGGUUAGCAAAAAAAAAAACUAGUCCACCAAGGAAGCAUAGAUCCAGCCCUCUGGGUAAGUCUCUUUGUCAGCAGGGUCUUAAAUCCAAUGCAUAAAACGGCAGGAACUCGGGGCAGCCUGCCUGAGGCCUCACUCCCAAGCACGGAUAAGGGAAACAGAUAUACCCAGACUCCUAAGUGUGUGGGGAGGGGGCAGAGGUCAGUGCAUGCCUGCGCCUACACACAGGGUUUCUGGGGUAGUAAAAUUUGCUGCGUGUACCCGUCUACCAAUCUCCCCCUAAGAGAGCAGUUGGUUCCCUCAGCAAAGCCACUCUACCCUCGGGGUCCCCAUGGUGACUUCACCCUGAACCACAGCUUCCAGAUUCUGCCUUCCCAAAGAUCACAGGCCCCAGAAAGUUCUUUGAUUCAUACCCAUCCCCUCAUCUAUGUCUCGAGGGGCUGAGCCUCGUUUCCCAAACUGGUUGCCUCCUUAUUUCUCACUUUCCCCGCCCAAUGUCAUUUUACUGUGCGUCAGUGCUGAGUGAGAAUUUUUCCAUGGCCCUGGAACUGACACAAAGACCCACAGCUGGAAAUCACAGGCUCCAAUACCUCAUAUUCCAUGGAGAACUUCUGACAUCUGGAGCCUUACACUACCCUGGCCCCCAGCCUGGGACUUACUAAGAGUCAAAAAAGCCAGCCCAACACCAAUCAACCCCAAAACUAUCAUGCCCUGCCCUGGGGAAAAGGAGAAAAGUGGAAUCAUCAGCGUCGCUGGCUCUGUGGUCCUCCCACCAAAGAGAUUUUUCCUGAAUGCCGCCAUGGAUAAAGGAAGGGAGAUGCUUCUCCCACCCCCCAAGUCAAGUGAGGGGCUGUGGGAACCACGCAUAGAUUGGAGGUUCCAGUCCAAGAGGAGACUGGGAUCUCCCUCCCCUGACAGACG